Molecule: long non-coding RNA, 1157 nt
Filed under: Anser cygnoides (Swan goose)
Lineage: Eukaryota; Metazoa; Chordata; Aves; Anseriformes; Anatidae
Description: lncRNA (ENSACDG00005001482.1)
Source: RNAcentral
GGGCCGGGCAGGGCGCUCCGGGCCGCUCCGGGCCCCCCGGCCGGUCCCCGGGGCGCGGAGCAGCGAGGCCUUCCCCGGGCCGCCCGCGGGCAUCGCUGGGGCGGGAGCCCCCCAGGGCCGGCCGGGGGCCGGGAGCCCCCGCAGCGAGGCUCCCCCUGCCCUCAGGUGAGCCCAGCCGGAGGGAGCCCGGCUCCGGGCACCGUGCUCUCAUCACCCAGUGCCCGACACCCCCUGCGUCCCCCAGGUACGAAGCCGAAGCCGGCCGCCAAGCCCAGGCUGCAGCACCCCGGUGGGGCUCCGCAGCUGGCGCUGCCGUCCGCCGUACCCAGACCCACCCCCCGGGACAAGGAGACGGAAACUGCUGGCAAGGCUGCGGGUCACAGACAGCCCUCGAAGAGGCUUUCUACAGCAAUCCCUACCGUGGCUUCUCGCUCCCGACUGCGGCCGCCAGGAAGAGUGGCUUCCCCCAAGCGCGCUUACCUAGGAUCGACUACCCAGGAGCUGCUGUGCAACAGGACCCGAGAGCUGAAGGAAAACGGCAAGGCUGACCAGACGUGGGUGUGCGUGGGAUCCCCUUCUCCCAUCGUGUUGCCACCCGUCCCUGCUCCGGGCUGUGGGGAGGCAGCCCCCGCUGAGCAGCCUGCAGGUGAUCAGCUGUCCCAGGAGCUGAAGCGUGUAAAGGACGAGCUGGAGCGAGUGAAGGGCGAGCUCGCUGACAGGACUGCCCAGUGUGAAGCCUAUCGCCAGACAAUCUCCUCCUUGCAGGCUCAGCUCAGAGCAGCAGGUAUGUCCCCUCGCCGGGGUGAGCCCUUGGUUCUGCGCAGGCUGCAGGGAUGCUCCUGUGAUCCCUUGCCGGUGUCAGUGAGGGCUGCCAGGUGGAAGGGACAAAGCUCGUGGCCUUCCCUGUGGGGCAGGUGCUGAGUGCUGGGAGCAACAGGGCUGUGAUGCUGCUCUUGUUCCCCAGGAAUCUGGCCAGAAGAUGCAGCAGUGGACGAGAGCGGUGUCGUGGGGAGAGACUGACAGCUGGCACACGGGGCAGACACAACAGCGACUUGUCCAGGCACCUGAGCUGCUGAGCCAGUGAUACUUGUGGAGCACUUGAACAAAUGGAUGUUUUAAUUCCUUGUAUUUAAAAUAAACUUUUUUUUCUUUUCUCA